Molecule: long non-coding RNA, 14414 nt
Filed under: Theobroma cacao (cacao)
Lineage: Eukaryota; Viridiplantae; Streptophyta; Magnoliopsida; Malvales; Malvaceae
Description: long non-coding RNA (TCAC_LNC003687)
Source: RNAcentral
AAAGUUUGGUAGUUGUAGUCACAGAUGUACUUAAAAUUGCCCAGGGGACGCAACACAACGCCUGGAAACUCAGUAUCCAUGGCAACGUAGGGGUAGUCAUCAACUAUUUCACGAAUCAAAGCGAAUUCUUCUUCAAGGUUAUCGUUCCAGACCUCACGGAUUUGGAUUGAAUCGCUCUUUGGCAACAAAGACAUCACUUGAAAAACCAACAAAAAAAACUAAUUUCUAUUUCAACCAAUAACAACCCAAGAAGACAAAGAUUCCUAAAUUACCACGAAACCCCCAAACAGGGAAUCAAUUUGCAAAACACCCAGAUUGAAUUUCACCAGAUCUGCAAGAAAUUACAAUAAAUUUAAGGCUAUAGAUCCUACAAACCAAAUAAAAGCCAGCUUCACCCAGAAAUGAAUUUCGAAUAAUUAAACGAUAAAUUAAAUAGAUGAUUAUAUAGAUGGAGAAAUGAAGAAGGAACUGACCUUUUGAAGUGAAAAGGGGAAGGAUUUUUCAGAGAAACAGAUUAAAUAAGGCAGAUUCUAGACAGAAAGAUCUAGAAAAUUUCUGAAAGGUCCUUCCUUUCUCUCUGUAAGGUUUCGGGGUUUGGAGUAUUAUCGGAGGCCCUAGACUGGGGUUUGAUUUUUCCUUUUUUCUUUAAGAACUGGUCGUUGACUUGCUGUGGUUAUCGUUUUAAGGUUUUUUUUUUUGUUUAUCUGUACUGUUUGUUUCCUGGGAAAAGGAGAGGCUUCACGUUUCUGUUAUUUUAUAUAUAUAGUGGAGUGAGAAGGGGAAUGGUCUGGAGCCUAUAGCCUUUCCCUUUGCUCACCUCCUUAUGAACAGAAAGGAGAGAAAUCUAAAACAAAUGCAGAUUUUUCAGGUAAAUUGCAGAUUCCAUUUUCCAGACAUUUAGGACACCUAGUUAUUCUAUUUUUCUGAAAACAAAUUUAUUACUAAAUACUUUUUUUUAAAAGGUUCAUUUGUUUUUAUUACCUAGUAUGUUUUUUUUUAAAUAUAUAUAUAUAAUAGGUGUUCAUGAGUCGAGUUUAGUUGAUUUUUCGUUUUUAAAAUUUAGACUUGAAAGUUUAUCAGAUUUGCAUAUCAAUUAUUGUUGUAAAAUAAUAAAACUAUAGGCUAACAUUUUAAUAUCUUUAAAUUAAUUUAAAAUAGAAUUAAACAAAAAUAUAAUAUUUAUUAUAAAAAUUUAAUUCAUUUAGUUUGACUUUGAAUUUAAAAAAUUAUAUUCCAAUUCGACUCAAAAUGUGUCAAAUUUGCAAAUUAUAAUGAAUAACUCGAUCAAUUAAUUACCUCACGAAAAGAGCUUAAAAUUUUAUAUUAAAAGUAAUCACUUAUGUUAUCCUCAAGUUUUACUUAUAUGUGCAACAUAAAUUAUUUAUAUAAUUACAUCCAUUAAAAACACAAAUCAAAUAAAUUAACAAAGAUAAAAAGUUCAAAAAAAUUUUAAAAUAUUUUAAAAAAUUCAAAUAAACUCUUUUUUUAUUACAUUUAAUCAAAUACUUUUCAUUUUAUUUUAAUUUAAUUAAUCUUUAGUCGUAAAGACAUAUUUGAUUCCAAAUAAAAGUAUAAGAAAUUAGUUAACUCGAAAUAAAAAUAUAAAAACUUAUUUAAUUCAAAAUAAAAAUAUAGAGUUUUAUUAAACGUAAUAAGAGAAUAUGAGUUUAUUUGAAUUUUUCUGAAUAGUUUAAGGAUUUUUUUUGGAUAUUAUACUUAAAAAUAUAAAAUAACAUAAAUUCCACAACAAUAAAAUGUACAUUCAUAAUUAAAAACAUCAUAAAUUCCCCAAGAAAAAAAAAAUUACAUAUCCAUACUCAUACCAACAUCAAUUCCAAAAGAACAAAAAUAAUUGUACACAUCCAUAACAUAUUCAUACAAGUUAGAAGUUGCACAAUCAUAAAUUCCACAACAUGGAUCCGUGUUUCGAUGAUUUCGAAUCCAUCAAUUGUUAAAAAUCUCAUAUCAACAUCUCCCUAAGAUGUUGAAAGAGAAAAAUUAUAAUUAGUAGAAAUUAAUGUAUUAUGAUAAUCUAUAUAUAUAAAUGAAAAUAUGGAUGAUAUUUAGUAAUAACAUUACACGAAGAUAGGAACAAUAACCUUUUUUUUUUCCUACUCAAGUAUAAGGUCCAAGUGCUUGCACAAGCUUGAGAGUCUAAAAAUUUUUAUGCACAUCACGCAGACAUCUACUAGUAUUAAAAUCGAAUUCCGAAACAAUUAUUGAUACGAAACUGUUAAUACAUCAAAAGUAAUAUUAGGAAGUAUAAGAAACCUAUAACUAUUGAUUUUCCGCCGUAUGAGAAUAUCAAAGUUAUCAUGGUCAACAGUCAAGUGCUUGCACAAGCUUAAGAGUCUAAGAAUUUUUAUACACAUCAAGCAGACAUCUACUAGUAUUAAAACCGAAUUUCGAAACAAUUAUUGAUACGAAACUGUCAAUACAUCAAAAGUAAUAUUAUGAAGUAUAAGAAACCUAUAAUUAUUGACUUUUCGCUGUAUGUGAACAUCAAAGUUAUCAUGGUCAACAGCUAAGUGCUUGCACGAGCUUAAGAGUCUAAGAAUUUUUAUACACAUCAAGCAGACAUCUACUAGUAUUAAAACCGAAUUUCGAAACAAUUAUUGAUACGAAACUGUCAAUACAUCAAAAGUAAUAUUGGGAAGUAUAAGAAACCUAUAACUAUUGAUUUUUCGCCGUAUGAGAACAUCAAAGUUAUCAUGAUCAACAGCCUCAUCCUUAGAUAAAUAUUUAUCCAUUGACCCUUUCCAUCUUAUACCUUUUAUACACUAAAAAAAAAGAAACCUUUCCUAUUGGGCUAUGAUUCCCACUUUCACAAGUGGCUUAUCUCAUUUGACUUUCUCCACUGCUUUCACCAACAAGCGGAAAUUGAGGUUGUAACAUUUUUUUUUUAUAUAAACAAUUGAUUGUUACAUUCUUUAAAAGCAAAACUCAACGAAACUAAAUUUUUUGCUUAAAAUCAAGAAAGAAGCAAUAUAUAAUACUAAAUUCAUUUUUUUCAUAAAUCUCUCAAUACUUGUAAAAUUUUCUUCCAAUCUAUUUGUCGUAUCUCAUAAAUCAACAUCAAAAUUUUCUUGCCUUUCUUUCAAAAUGCAAUACACCUCAUAAAUACAAUCAAGAAAAGUAUUACAAGUUACGUAAAAAGAACUUGAAAUCUUUGCAGUCAAAUCAUAAAAUUGUUCCAGAAAAAGAAAAAUUCUCUUAACAUUUGUUACAUAAUUGUUCUAUACUUGUUUUUAUUUGCCAAACAAUACUUAGAAAAAUAAUAAAAUGUUAACCAAAAUCAAGUAUCUAUAGUUAGUAGUCCCUUUAAUGAUAUUUUAUAUUUGUCACAAAUUUAUUUUUAUCUAUUAUUUAUAUAAAUAAAUACUAUCUUGAUAAUAAAUACUAUCUUUAUAACAAAUUUGAAGCUAGUUUUGGUUAGCAAGGAGAUAGAGCUUAUCUCAAUAAAUUCUUUUGAGGUUUUUCUUUUUUUAUUUUUUCUUAAAUGUUGUGAAAAAUUCUAACAUAAUGCUUAGAGGAGUCUCUUAAUUAUUUAAGAAAAUUUAAAUAAUUUCUUUUUUGCAUUUAAUCAGUCCAUUAUACUUUUAAUUUAAAUAAAAUAAAUCUUAACAGUUGAUUAAUUGUAAUAAAUUAAAAUAUCACUUGUCAUUUUAUACUUACGUAAUACUGAAAAUAAAAAUAUCACAUAACCAUGCUAUCAUGUCAUAUCAUCUUUUAUUAUAUUAUAUUAACAUGUUAUGUUAACUUUAUUUGACAUAAAUGAUAAAUAAUAUUUUGACGAAUAAUAAUUAAUUAACUAUUAGUUAUAAAGAUUUAUUUACCUUUAAAUAAAAAUACAAAAAUUUAAUAAAUAUAAUAAAAUGAUGAAAAUUUAUUCGAAUUUUCUUAAAUAGUUCUAAAAGUUUUUAAAGUAUUAUGUCAUACUUUUAUUAUUAUUUUUUUAAACAUCUCAUAACAAGUAUUAAAAUAAUAAUUUUCAGUUAUUACAAAAAAAUAAAUUAAUUGGUUAGCAAUCGAACAUCUGAUUAAGUAUGGUCAAUUUCCGUUAACGUUCCAAUCCGAGGGUCAGUCGAUUCCAGUUGCUCCCACAUGAUCUUUGCUAGGUUAGUUUCGGAGCACUGCUCCCAACCGAAACCGACCGAUGCUCCCUCAGCUCCAUGCGAUUCUCGUCCUAUAAGCCAAAAUCCAGGUGAAUAACUAAAAGAAAAAAAAUGGUAACAUGAAUCAGUUUCUUCUCCAAGUCAGAAAAAGAUAUCCAAAAUACCCAUUUAAUUAUUCUAUGAACCUAACAAGAACAAUGCAGUAAUAAAUAAAAAUGCAAGUAAAAUUUUAAUCUGCUUUGACCUUGAAGAGCUCAAGCAGCAAGCAGAUAAAGUUGUUUGCAACCAUGGAAAGGCCUUAUGCUUCUCUAACUCCCAUAAACUGAGUAGACAAACCUGGGUUCAAAUAAGUGAAUAACCCAUCCUUACCACAUUGACUAUUUGUUGUACUCACCAUUCUAAAUGCCUGGAGGAAAUAGGAUAGACAGGCCUAUUUGUGACAUAAUAUCCCAAUAGACAUCAGAAAGAAGGGCCUAGGCAUGCACAUUGGCCAACACAGAGGUAAUUAACAUAAUAUCCACGCAGCAAACGAAACUAGCAUCUAAUAAUAAUCAACAAUAAUUACCAACACAAAGCCAAUUAGCCUACCAGAAUCCCAUUUUCUUCCAGUCGAAUAAUCCUCAAGGCAUUGCCAGACUACAGUCCGCAUGUAGGGUAACUCUUCUUUUUAAUUUUUGAUAUUUUGGACUAUCAUCAGCAAGGCACAUGGAAGCAGCUGCCAAUCACUUAAAGCAAUUCCAUACAACUUGCUAAAUGUUGACAACCACCAAAUUAGCAGAAACAGCAAUACAUGUUGGGUCAAUCAUGUGUUUGACAGAAAAAGCAGGCUACUAAUAAUGCAUUUCAACAGCCUAACAGCCUAACAUGAUAAGCAACAGCUCUUCAGUUGGCAUAUGCCUCAUAGCACAUACAUAUUGCUAACAGGACACAUUAUAUGAAUGCAGCUUUAACAAACCCGCACAUGCUGGACACAGGCUAGACAUCUGCUAGUUUCAAAAGAAUUUCUGGGCAAUCAACAGAGCACAUAAAUACUGAAACCAUGCUUCAACAAAGACAAGAAUCUGACUAUGAAGGGCUGAGCCUAUUUACGUUUAUAUUUAAAUCAUUAUUCUUACUAGCAUAUCCACUCUCAUCAAACUUGUUUCCAUGCAAUUUCCAUAAAUCAUAGUCAAACUAAUUAGAGUGGCAGGCAUGAGAUAUACCAAUAAGAACAUGACAGAGAGACUGCAGAGGCACAUGCCAUAAAUAUAACUAAGGAUAACAUUCUAUGAUACAUACCAGCACUAUAAAACCAAGUCUAGCCACUUAAGUUUCCUAAUUUCUUAAAUUUUGCAGCCAGUCAAGAAAUUUUGUCAUAACCCCCUUUGUUGCUCAGAUCUGUGCAAUGUUGGGGCAUUUCACGAAAGGCAAGAAGAGUGCCUCAAGGUCCUCAACAGAAUGGUCCAUCUUAUAAUAUAUUAAAACUCAAAAGUAUCCCAGGCAUUAAGCUAGUAUUAGAAAAGUAGAAAGCUGCAAUGGUAAAAGCAAAUAAAAAAAUGAAAAAUGAUGUUUCCUUAAUGGAGUUAGAAAUAACUAAAUACCAUCAAAUAAGGGGAACCUGAAUCAAUGAUAAAUAACUCAGGAACUAGCUUACUCAAGACACAAAAAAUACACAGCGCUAAGGGAUGUCGAACCUUCCUUGUUGCUAGAUGAUAUACAGAUACAGAGAUUCAUAGCUACAGGAAGGAAGGGCUUUGUAAACAAUCCAUGCUCGUUGACAACAAUGUUUCUCAUCCUAUCAUCCUCUGCAUGAUGAAUAAACGAACAUCUAAAUAUGAAUUGCUCUAGAUGAUAACAAGGGUUAAGAAAAGGCAGAGAAAGUUGAACUUGGCAGAGAAAGUUGAACUUGAGGCAAAGGGCUUGUUUGAAGGAUGAAAGUAAAUUUUCUAAACAGAAUUUAAAGCAGCUUUAUAAACUUACAAGAGAAGGACAAUGACAAAGAUCAUAAUAUAUAUUAAAAUUGCACAGAUUGUAUGAAAUCCUCAACCAGAAACUCAAUGUGCUAAACCUUGUAUUUGCAUACUCAAUGCAUUAAUAACAGACUAAAAGCGUCAGGUAAACAGUAUUCUUUAUAUGACACCUCUUCAAAUGAUUAACAAACCAUUACUUAGGUCCUGAAUUUCCCUUCAUGUAAUAUCAGAAGAAAAAAAAUGAUCUCUGAAGAAAAGUCACCAAGCUAGGAAAAGGCAAAUUACCUAACAAAUAAACAUUGAAGCCGAUUUCAGGUGAGAUCCAUUUCUUCAAAUGGCAACUCCCAAACAAUAUUUAUUCCUUGAGAAGAGAUAACCUAGAUAAUGGAUCUUACCUCACACAUUGAAGAAAUCAUAGAGCAGCUAUUCCUAUACAGAGAAACCUUAAAUUUAGAUCAAAUUUCAUUACCAUCCAGAAGUCUGAAACUAGAACAGAAAUGUUAAAAAGAAAGAACUUGAUGGUGAAAAGAUUACUUUUAAACUCAGUCCGAAUGAAGAGAGAGAGAGAGAGAGAGAUUAACAGAAGAGGGCGAGGGGGGGGGGGGGGGGUGGAGAGGGACAAUAUAGGAAGUAAUCUAAUUCCACACCAUAUGAUUGAUACAAAAACAGGGCAUUUAAGAAAAAAAAAUGAUAACAUUUAAACACUUACUAGAAAUGGACGUCUACCAUUAAAUAGCCUAAAAAGUAAUGCAUUAUUUUAAGUUUGUGCAGUAACAUUUCAGAAGCUGCUCCUAGAUGGUGAUGGUGUAAAUGUUGUGUACAUUCAUGAUUAGAAAUAUAAACAUCAAGAUAAUGUUCCAUCAUUUUCCCAAUUUGCUAUCACAUAAUAUAUGAACAUAAAUAUGCCACUUGACACUUGACAGAUACAUGAAACAUAAUAUUUCAUAGUGCUGUAACAGCAAGAACAAAGAGAACAAUAAGCAUAAGAAAAUAUUCAUAAAUUACGAAAAUUGUUGCCAACAGUUUACAUUGAAGUGUGGGUAUGAGGCACACUUUUACAGACAAACAAAGAGUUAUCCAAAUCUUUUUUGUUAUUAUUACUUUUCAUUUUCAAUUACUCUGUCCAUUCUCAACACCUAAACCAUACAACACACCAGAAUACUUUUCCAAAGAGCCACUAAAGAAAUUCUCUUUCAAUUUCCUGAAUGUACAAGAUGUGAGCAAACUAUCCGAACCUGCUUGAUGACAAAUCCCAACUCUUUCUACUUCCAACAACUCUGCAAGCUUGUUCAAUCCACCGUACAGACUGUUGCUAAACUUCAUCAAAUGCUUGAUAUCAUAAAGGGUAGGAAAGUAAAUAUUGAUCAAACUAAAGAACCCAGCUUGUGUAUCCGGCAAAUUCUGACAAGUCAAGAGCUUAAGCAAGUACCCGAAAUCAUAACCACUAUGGAAAGUAACCCAAUGCACACUGUCAUUCAAAACGAUCCCAGAAGACAUCAAAAGCUCACCAAACCUCAUUGCAUCAAUACCCUUCUCAUUGUUUUUCUUGAAAUCAAUCCCACUUUGCCUCAAAAGCUCAAUAGAAUCAUUAGCAAACACAUCCUCAUUGACAUUAAACUCGCAGAAAUUGAAUUGCCAAAUGCAAUACUUGUCAGUUCCACAUGUAGGCAAGUUUCCUUCCUCGUCGGAAAACGUAAGACCCAAUUGAAUCAACUUUAACAUAUCGACAUUGUCUUUCAAAGUUUGGUAGUGAUAAUCAUAGCUGUUCUUGAAAUUGCCCAACGGACGCAACACAACGCCUGGAAACUCGGUGUCCAUGGCAACGUAGGGGUAGUCAUCAACUAUUUCACGAAUCAAAGCGAAUUCUUCCUCAAGGUUAUCGUUCCAGACCUCACGGAUUUGGAUUGAAUCGCCCUUCGGCAGCAAAGACAUCACUUGAAAAACCAAAAAAAAAAAAAAACCUAAUUUCUUUUUCAACCAAUAACAACCCAAGAAAAAGAUUCCUAGAUUACCACGAAAACCCCAAACAAGGAAUCAAUUUGCAAAACACCCAGAUUGAAUUUCACCAGAUCUGCAAGAAAUUACAAUAAAUUUAAGGCUAUAAAUCCUCCAAACCAAAUAAACGCCAGCUUCACCCAGAAAUGAAUUUCCAAGAACUAAACGAUAAAUUAAAUAAAUGAUUAUAUAGAUGAAGAAAUGAAGAAGGAACUUACCUUAAAGAAGUGGAAAAAUGGAUGGUUUUUUUGAGAGAAAUAAAUAAACAAGGCAGAUUCUAGAGAGAGAAAGAUCAAGAAAAUUUCUGAAAGGUACUUCCUUUCUCUCUGUAGGGUUUCCUGUUUGCAGUAUGAUUGGAGGCCCUAAAAUGGGUUUUUCCUUUUUCUUAAGAACUGGUCGUUGACUUGUCGUGGUUACUGCUUUAUGGUUUCUUCCUUUUUAUCUGUUUUGUUUGUUUCUCGGGAAAAAGAGAGGUUUCACUGUUCUGUUUCUCCAACGAGUUUAUAUCCGAUACAGUAACACUGUAUAACUUGUAUAUACAUUAUAGAAGUAAUUUUAAAAUUUUUAAUAUCAAUAAAAUUUCGUAUCACAUGAUACCUCUUCUUCUUUAUGUAACUUCAAUUAAAACAUCUAAUUUAGGUCAUAAUUUACAUGAGAUUUCCAAAAUUAUUAAUUAAAGAUAGGUCAUGAAAUAUAAAAGAAUUACAUAAGGUUGUGCAAAAAUGAAAUAUGAACUCAAAACUCAACACUGCUAUUAUCAGAAUUGCAAAUUCAUAUAGUCACCUUAAUAAUCUUGCAAAAUUUAUAACCGGAUAAUUAAAAAAAUAAAAUUUCAUUUCAAAAAACAAUGAAAGAGCUAUUGAAUUAAUUGAGAAAGUGAAUACAAAAGAAAUUCAUAUAUAAAUUGUAGGGCGUAUCCAUAGAAAAUGUUAAAUUGAUCCAAAAAAGUAGAGUUCUUGUACAAUCCAUUGAAGCGAAAAUUAAUAAUCUCUCCCUUAGAGUUUGAAUUAUCUGUGAGCUAUUAGGAAUCCAAAUUUUGACAAUUAUAAUUAAAGAGUUAAUAAAAACUAUACACUAUCAAUAAAAUCAUAUUUAAAAUUAUAUAUAUAUAUAUAUAUAUAUAUAUAUAUAUAUAUAUAAUGGAAAGAGAUGGGAAUGGUAUGGAGUCGAUUGCCUUUCCCUUGCUUACUUCCUUUUGAACACGAAAAGAAAAAUCUAAAAUAAACGUAAAUUUUUCAUAUACGAAUUUAUCAAUAUUUAUUUCAGUUAUUACUCCAAUUCUUUCAAUAUUAUGAUCAAUUCCUUUAUUAAAUUUUCAAAAAAUUUAUCAAUUCAUUUAUUUUUAUUACAUAGUAUGAUCAUGAGUCAACUUUAGUAGGUAUUUCCUUUUUAAAAUUUUUAUUAUUCAAUUAAUAAAAUAAAAUUUUAUGUGUUAAUAUUUUAAAAUUAAUUUAAGAUAAACUUAAAUAAAAUAUAUUAUUUGUUAAAAAAAAUCUAAUCCAUCCGAAUUGAUUUUGGAUUUAAACAAUUAUAUUCCAACUCAACUCGAUGUGCAUCAAAUUUGCAAAUUAUGAUGAAUAACGUGAUCCAUUAAAGAACUUAAAAUUUUAUAUUAAUAAUAACCACUUAUAUUACCAACAAGUUUUACUUAUAUGCAACAUUAAUAUUCUUUAUAUACUUACAUUUAUUAAGAACACAACUUAUAUCCAUAAGUAUUUGGUAGUCACGAUAAAAGAAUUUGAUUGCAAUUUAAUUAUGUAAACUUUUUCACAAUAUCCACGAAAAAAUUAAAUUUGAAAAAAAAGGAGCUUUAAACGAGUGUAAAUUCUAUCUCCUUGCUAAUCAAAAGUUGCUUCACACUUAUAAAAGUUGUUCAUUUUUUCUUACUGAAUCAUGAAAUUUCAUUAAAAGGAACAAAAAAAAAAAUCAUUAUUACAUAAAAAACAUGACCAACAUUAUAAAAAUAAGUAAAAACCAACAAACCGAAAAUAAAGAUAAGAAAGUGGAAACCAGCUCCAACUGGAACUUCACAUGAAAAAGCAUCCUGCGCAUACAAGAAAAAACCAAGUCUGGCCAUGGCAUGUGCAUGAUUGAAUAUCUCUUCUUUUGUGAGAGGAUGAGGACCAUCAUCACUCAUCAUUACAUCAUACAACUAAUAUCAUACAUUAGGUCAAUGGAGCCAUACCAUGACAGAGAAUAGUGACGACAAUUCAGAACAUGUGACAAGAUUUAUGAGUUUAUUUUACUUUUGAAAUGUUCUUGAAAGCUUGACUUAAUAACUAAAACAUGAAGAUAGUUAAAAGAUCAUCCAUUUAUCCUUUCAUUAAAGUAUAUGUGCUUCACCUUUUUCCUUUUUCCCUAAAAAACACUGACACAUUGUUAAGUGCGACUUAACUCCACUGUCUCAUUAAACCAAAACAUCGUUUCACUACCGAGCUCUCAUGCUAUCCCAUGAUAAAUGCGUUAUGACAUAAUGGACGUGUUCUUAUCAUUAACACGUUCUUUCUUUCGAUGAUAUCCAAUAAGCACAUUAUAUAUAUAUAUAUAUAUGAGCUUGGCAAUUAAAGAUGCAAAUCAAAAUUUCACCGAAUUCAUUAAUCUCUCUAAAAGCUCUCCCUCAACUCUUCCCAAAUACUCUCUCUCAACUCUUUCCUAUUCUAUUCUCCUUCAUGCUUCGCCGCCAAGCUUUCACUAUCUUUUCCCUAACUUUUAUCUCUCACCUCCUGCCAUAAAGCACUUGAAACUUCAAGAAUUGCCUUAAUCUUCCUCUCCGUCGCCUCUAGUGCAUCUCACUUUACUUGUUGUAACACUUUCUCUUCCCUUAUCAAAGAAACCCAUACAUCCAAGCAUUAUAAAACCUAGUAUACCUACUUAAGUUUCCUAAUUUCUUAAUUUUGCAGCCAAUCAAGAAAUUUUGUCCUAAACCCCUUUGUUGCCCAGGUCUGUGCAAAGUUCAGGCAUUUCAUGAAAGGCAAGAAGAGUGCCUCAAGGUCCUCAACAGAAUGGAGCAUCUUAGAAUACAUAAAAACUCAAAAAUAUCCCAGGCAUUAAGCUUGUACUAGAAAAGUAGAAAGCUGUAAUGGUAAAAGCACAAAAAAAAAAAAAAAAAAGUAAAAUGGUGAAUGGAGUUAGAAAUAACUAAAAAGCAUCAAAUAAGGGGAACCUGAAUCAAUAAUAAAUAACUCAGCAACUAGCUUACUCAAGACACAAAGAUACACAGCACUCUAACAAGCCAAGGGAAGUAGAACAUUCCUUGUUGCUAGAUAAUAUACAGACACAGAGAUCAAUACAUAGAUACAGAUACAGAGAUUGAUAAAUACAGGGUGGAAGGGCUUUAUAAACAAUCCAUGCUUGUUGACAACAACGUUUCUCAUCCUAUUAUCCUCUGUAUAAUGAAUAAACAAACACCUAAAUAUGAAUUGCUCAAGAUGAUGCCAAGGGUUAAAAAAUGGCAGAGAAAUUUGAAUUUGAGCCUUCAAAAAUCAAGAGUGUGAUAUCAUAUGGUACCUAGGUGCCAACAUGCUUCUGCGUGCAUGUAUCUGUAUACUAUCUAGCAACAGCCUAGUUAAUUACUAAAAGGACAAGCUGGAGUGACAAAACCACCUAUUUAGGCAAUGAGCCUGUUUGGAGGAUGAAAGUAAAUAUUCUAACCACAAUUUAAAGCAGCUUUAUAAAAUUACAAGAGAAGGAAAAUGUCAAAGAUCAUAAUAUAAGUUAAACAUGCAUAGAUUGUAUGAAAUCCCCAACCAGAAACUAGAUGUGCCAAACCUUGUAUUUGCAUACUCAAUGCAUUAAUAAGAGACAAAAAGAGUGAGGUAAACAGUAUUCUUUAUAAGACGCCUCUUCUAAUGAUGAAUAACCAUUGCUAAGGUCCUGAAUUUUCCCUCAUGUCACAUCAGAAAAAAAAAAUGAUCUCUGAAGAAAACUCACCAACCUAGGAAAAAAAAAUGAUCUCUGAAGAAAACUCACCAACCUAGGAAAAGGCAAAUUACCUAACAGAUAAGGAUUGAGGCAGAUUUCAGGUGAGAUCCAUUUUCCCAAACAGCAACGUCCAAACAAUAUUUAUUCCUUGAGAAGAGAUAACCUAGAUAAUGGAUCUUACCUCGUAUAUUGAAGAAAUCAUAGAGCAGUAAUUCCUAUGCAGAGAGACCUUAAAUUUAGAUCAAGCUUUCAUUACCAUCCAGAAGUCUGAAACUAGAAUAGCAACGAUAAAAAGAAAGAACUUGACAGUGAAAGUUUACUUUUAAACUCAGUCAGAAUGAAGAGAUAUUUAAUAAAUUUUGGUAACUGUGAUCGAUAAGUACCCAUAUUUUUGCUUCUCAAUCUGAUAUUAACAGAAAAAACCUAGGGCCCCUGCUGCAUUACCUGAAAAAUAAAGAAAAUAUCAAGAUUCCUUAGGAUGAAGUAAGCCUUCAAAAUAAUUGUUCAAUGAAUUGUGGAUUAAGAUUUAUGUGCAGUGAUUAUACCAAAACGUAUCAUGAAAUAAUUUAAAAGGUGAAUUUCGCAUUCAUUGUCACUCAAAUCUUUGUGGACAGAGCUGUAUAUGAAAAUAUAAAAAAUUACCUAAAAAGAACGAGAAUUGAUGGAAAAUGCGGCAUUCGAGGGGAUAUAUGAUAUAUUUAGGCAAUAAGCUUCAACAGGCAAGUUCUAAAAAUUGUUGCAAUGGGAGAAUUGACACUAACAGAAAGUGGAAUGACGAAGAAGAGAGGUUGCUAGGCAAGAAGUACUGCCUUAUAGACCCAACUUGUACAAAGGAAUAAUCAGCAAUGCAGUAGAAAAUAGAGAACAUUCAACCAUUAAUUAGUUUUACCUUUAAGAUAAUAAGAGUAAGAUUUGGUACAACAGACACAAGGCCCGUCGGAUGUCAGUCAUUAUUCUUGAUCACCAGUCACAACCACUAAAUAAAAGGGUUAAACGUGCACGAGAGAGAGAGAUGGACAGAGAAGAGUGGGGUGAGGGAAACAAUAUAGGAAGUAAUCUAAUUCUAGAAAAUAUGAUAGAUACAAAAGCAAGGCAUUCAAGAAAAGGAUGAUAACAUUCUAAUACUUAAUAGAAAUGGAUGUCUACCAUUAAAUACCCUAAAAGAUGCACUAUUUUAGGAUUGUGCAGUGACAUUUCAGAAGCAAUGGUGGUGGUGUAAAUAUUGUGUUCAUUCAUAGUUAGAAAUAUAACCAUCAAGAUUAUGCUCCAUCAUUUUUCCAAUUUGCUAUCACAUAAUAUAUGAACAUAAAUGCACCACUUGAUACUUGACAGAUACAUGAAACAUAAAAAUUUAUAAUGCAGCAACAGAAAGAACAAAGAGAACAAUAAGCCUAAGAAAAUAUACAUAAAUUACGAAAAUUGUUGCCAACAGUGUACAUUGAAGUGUGGGUAGGAGGCACACUCGUACAGACAAACAAACAGUUGUCCAAAUCUUUUUUUGUUUUUAUUACUUUUCAUUUUCAAUAAGUACUCUGUCCAUUCUCAAUACCUAAACCGUACAACACACCGGAAUACUUUUCCAAAGAGCCACUAAAGAAAUUCUCUUUCAAUUUCCUGAAUGUACAAGAUGUGAGCAAACUGUCUGAACCCGCUUGAUGACAAAUCCCAACUCUUUCUACUUCCAACAACUCUGCAAGCUUGUUCAAUCCACCGUGCAGACUGUUGCAAAACUUCAUCAAAUGCUUGAUAUCAUAAAGGGUAGGAAAGUAAAUAUUGAUCAAACUAAAGAACUCAACUUGUGUAUCUGGCAAAUUCUGGCAAGUCAAGAGCUUAAGCAAGUACCCAAAAUCAUAGCCACUAUGGAAAGUAACCCAAUGCACACUAUCAUUCAAAACAAUCCCUGAAGACAUCAAAAGCUCACCAAACCUCAUUGCAUCAAUGCCCUUCUCAUUGUUUUUCUUGAAAUCAAUUCCACUUUGCCUCAAAAGCUCAAUGGAAUCAUUAGCAAACACAUCCUCAUUGACAUUAAACUCGCAGAAAUUGAAUUGCCAAAUGCAAUACUUAUCAGUUCCACAAGUAGGCAAGUUUCCUUGGUCGUCGGAAAGCGUAAGACCCAAUUGAAUCAACUUUAACAUAUCGACAUUGUCUUUCAAAGUUUGGUAGUGGAAGUCAUAGCUGUUCUUGAAAUUGCCCACGGGGCGCAACACAAUGCCUGGAAACUCGGUGUCCAUGGCAACGAAGGGGUAGUCAUCAACUAUUUCACGAAUCAAAGCGAAUUCUUCCUCAAGGUUAUCGUUCCAGACCUCACGGAUUUGGAUUGAAUCGCUCUUUGGCAACAAAGACAUCACUUGAAAAACCAAAAACAAAAAAAAAACUAAUUUCUUUUUCAACCAAUAACAACCCAAGAAGACAAAGAUUCCUAGAUUACCACGAA